UGAGGCUUCUGCUUGACCUUCUGCGUGCCC
RNAcentral lists this non-coding RNA (30 nucleotides) under Homo sapiens (human). Lineage: Eukaryota; Metazoa; Chordata; Mammalia; Primates; Hominidae. The record is from RNAcentral.